GCGCUGCUGACGAGUCCCAAACGGGACAAAACAAUUGUCCAGUGU
RNAcentral lists this non-coding RNA (45 nucleotides) under Echinostoma caproni. Lineage: Eukaryota; Metazoa; Platyhelminthes; Trematoda; Plagiorchiida; Echinostomatidae. The record is from RNAcentral.